UGGGCAGGCGGGUUUUUAUCACCAUCAGGAUAAGGUUCUCCUUCUGUUCCUGACGUAGUCGAUCUCAGCUCAAGUUGGGAUGAAGUUCUCCUCCUAUUCCCAACGGGGCUGUGGGGGCACAUAAGGAUCAUUGUAAGGGCCUCUCCCCCCAUCCGGUCUAGAAAGAUCGGGCCUUCGACUUUGCUCAUGUCAGGACGAGGUUCUCCUCCUGUUCCUAACAUGGCUG
RNAcentral lists this long non-coding RNA (226 nucleotides) under Elaeis guineensis (African oil palm). RNAcentral's name for it is "long non-coding RNA (EGUI_LNC058447)". Lineage: Eukaryota; Viridiplantae; Streptophyta; Magnoliopsida; Arecales; Arecaceae. The record is from RNAcentral.